This 329-nucleotide ribosomal RNA is filed under the name uncultured eukaryote. Its description in RNAcentral is "partial 18S ribosomal RNA". It matches the Rfam family "Eukaryotic small subunit ribosomal RNA", at positions 1470 to 1796 of the family's 1831-position model. The record is from RNAcentral.
CCCUUAGAUGUUCUGGGCCGCACGCGCGCUACACUGACGAUGGCAACGAGUUUUUCCUUCGCCGAAAGGUGUGGGUAAUCUUUUGAAACAUCGUCGUGCUGGGGAUAGAUCAUUGCAAUUUUUGAUCUUGAACGAGGAACUCCUAGUAAGCGCGAGUCAUCAGCUCGCGUUGAUUACGUCCCUGCCCUUUGUACACACCGCCCGUCGCUACUACCGAUUGAAUGGUUUAGUGAGGACUCCUGAUUGGCGCCGCCGCCCCGGCAACGGAGCAGCGGACUGCCGAAAAGUUGUUCAAACUUGAUCAUUUAGAGGAAGUAAAAGUCGUAACA